This 822-nucleotide ribosomal RNA is filed under the name Triticum aestivum (bread wheat). Its description in RNAcentral is "partial small subunit ribosomal RNA". Lineage: Eukaryota; Viridiplantae; Streptophyta; Magnoliopsida; Poales; Poaceae. The record is from RNAcentral.
AUGGCCCUGCUCCUCCUUCUCUCCACCCAACCUCGCCGCCGUCCAUUCACCCCAUCUCCUUCUCCCUCGCCACCUGCUUCUGCUCCUCCCUCUCGCCAUUCACCUCCGGACCUGCGCUUCCCGCUGCGCCUCCCCGUCCAGGACGGCGGCAGCAGCGGCAGCCGGCUCUGCACCUUCUCCAGCGUCGCUGGAGGCCGUGUUGUGGGAGGUACUUGCCGCGAAGGCAUCGGCGGAGACCACCGCAGCCUCGGCGGACGCGCUGCUACAGCAGCAGGACGCCACCAAAGAGCACGCGUGCCCAAGUCCCUCCGCGAGGGCGACGAGCGCGCCUACAUGCCGCAGGUGGUGUCCAUCGGCUCUCUCCACGCUGGCAAGCGGCGGCUGCAUGAGAUGGAGCGCCACAAGUGGCGCGCUGCACCACGGGCGCGUCACAUGGAUGCCGGCCAACGAGUUCGCCCAGUGCCUAGUGCUGGACGGGACCUUCGUGCUGGAGCCGUUCCGCGGCGCGCUGGACGGCGCCAAGGGGUUCGUGGACGACCUGGGUUAUUCGCGGCAGACCUGCUGCUCGGGAUCCAGCUGGGCCACCCGGAGCAGACGGGGGCCGUGCCAGCCUCGCCGUGCGGUUCUUCGAACCGCCGAUGCCGAUGGGCACGCCGCUGCACCAGAAUGACCGAAGGGCGCGAAGGACGGAGGAGGCCGCCGGCGAGCGGAGCCAGGGGACGUGGAGACGCGGAGGCGCGGAGCCGGCCCGGAGCUCCUUCAUCCUGCCGUCCCUGUGCGCGGCGAGGCGAGGGCGGCGGCAUGCCGAGCGCAGCGAGGUGA